CCUCUGGGGAACACUUUAUGAUUGCUGCUUAUCAAGGCAGCUACCAACAGAAGGGAAAGCCAUGGUUUAGGCUUCCAGCACAUAUUAACUUUAGGAAACGGCUUCUCCCAUCAAAGGGGACAAUAAUAUGUCCCUUACAGGGCUACUGCACAGUCAUUUCCUCUCAAUGCACUAUUUACAUUGUCAGGAACUAUGAUUAUGCCCCCAGCUGUUUCUGAUUCCUACUUGGAAAUAAAUCCAAGAUUGCUAUUAGCCCUUCCACCCCAACCUGUCUGCCCCCA
Molecule: long non-coding RNA, 281 nt
Filed under: Homo sapiens (human)
Lineage: Eukaryota; Metazoa; Chordata; Mammalia; Primates; Hominidae
Description: HSALNT0060342
Source: RNAcentral